GAUGAACGCUGGCGGCGUGCCUAAUACAUGCAAGUCGAGCGAACAGAUAAGGAGCUUGCUCCUUUGACGUUAGCGGCGGACGGGUGAGUAACACGUGGGUAACCUACCUAUAAGACUGGGAUAACUUCGGGAAACCGGAGCUAAUACCGGAUAACAUUUGGAACCGCAUGGUUCUAAAGUGAAAGAUGGUUUUGCUAUCACUUAUAGAUGGACCCGCGCCGUAUUAGCUAGUUGGUAAGGUAACGGCUUACCAAGGCAACGAUACGUAGCCGACCUGAGAGGGUGGUCGGCCACACUGAACCUGAGGCACGGUCCAGACUCCUACGGGAGGCGGCGGUAGGGAAUCUUCCGCAUUGGGCGAAAGCCUGACGGGGCAACGCCGCGGGGGUGAUAAAGGGUUUCGGCUCGUAAAACUCGGUUAUUAGGAAAGAAAAAAUGGGUAGUAACUGUGCACGUCUUGACGGUACCUAAUCAGAAAGCCACGGCUAACUACGUG
Molecule: ribosomal RNA, 496 nt
Filed under: uncultured bacterium
Lineage: Bacteria
Description: partial 16S ribosomal RNA
Rfam family: Bacterial small subunit ribosomal RNA
Source: RNAcentral